UUUCGUGUAGUGGCAUUUUGGCGUCCACCUGAUUUCGAUAACUGUUGUCCAUCAUCUACUAUAGACGAAAAUAUUCUUUUGGAUGAUACGGCAUCAGAUGUAGGUGAUACCAGUGAUGGAGUCUCGGCAUCCGACGCAGAAGAUCAAGAAGAAACAACUGCAAAACAAACACGUGGUUCUGGACUCCUUCCCGGAAUGAAGGAAGCUAUAAAACAGUGCAUGAAACAUUGGUUGCUGAAGCGCAUAAAAAAACACUUAAAAAAUAGUCUGUUUUAUUGCAGUUGCCUAUUAACACAGUGCGAUCUGUAAUUAAUCGCAAAGAAAAAUCUCGAAAAUUAAGGGAAACAUUUUCGAAAAUAAUCAACGACGUCAGUUUUCAAAAUUUAUUAUUCCUAUUGCACAAAUCUUGUACCCACCGUAACAUGGCUGUAUAAAGCACUGUAUAAAGAUGGAAUUGACAUUCCUUAUAAGAUCACUCACUUUAGAUCAUUUCUCUCUAUAUUUGGUUUUAUAUUUCGACGGUUGAACAAACGUCAGUAUAUCCCUAAUCGGUUAAUUCUUGAUGUUUUUAUAACAAUCACCACUCCUGAAUGUUGAAGAUUGUAGCCGACACCAUUAAACGAUUGCACUUUUUGCGGCAAAGAUUCCUGAUAAAUUUUUGUAACGCCGACAGGAAUAUUCGGUCAAUGAGAGUGAAUCUGUUUUUAAUGCUAUAUUUAAUUUAAUACAUUAACAACCUCAUGCAUGGACAAGGGAAGACAAAAACUAAUACAAUAUUCGCAUUGAUGUCCCUAAUACCCGCUUAACAUUAUUAUUAUUAUUAUUAUUAUAUUGUUACGAAAUAAACUCAUACGCCGCCUCGGUACGA
This is a long non-coding RNA of Zophobas morio, 868 nucleotides long. RefSeq lists it as uncharacterized. NCBI's taxonomy places the organism in Eukaryota, Metazoa, Arthropoda, Insecta, Coleoptera, Tenebrionidae. The record is from RefSeq and is a predicted model, not a curated record. The transcript has 2 exons.